Molecule: ribosomal RNA, 253 nt
Filed under: uncultured bacterium
Lineage: Bacteria
Description: partial 16S ribosomal RNA
Rfam family: Bacterial small subunit ribosomal RNA
Source: RNAcentral
UACAGGGGGUGCAAACGUUGCUCGGAAUUAUUGGGCGUAAAGCGCGCGUAGGCGGCCACUUAAGUCGGAUGUGAAAGCCCCUGGCUCAACUGGGGAAGUGCACCCGAAACUGAAUGGCUUGAAUGCAAAAGAGGGUCGCGGAAUUCCCGGUGUAGAGGUGAAAUUCGUAGAUAUCGGGAGGAACACCGGUGGCGAAGGCGGCGAUCUGGACGAUGACUGACGCUGAGACGCGAAAGCGUGGGGAGCAAACAGG